GGACCGGGAUAACCCUGGGAAACUGGGGCUAAUACUGGAUAGGCAAUUAUUCCUGCAAUGGUUUUUUGUUUAAAUGUUUUUCGCCUAAGGAUGGGUCUGCGGCCGAUUAGGUAGUUGGUUAGGUAAUGGCUUACCAAGCCGUUGAUCGGUACGGGUUGUGAGAGCAAGAGCCCGGAGAUGGAACCUGAGACAAGGUUCCAGGCCCUACGGGGUGCAGCAGGCGCGAAACCUCCGCAAUGUGAGAAAUCGCGACGGGGGGAUCCCAAGUGCCAUUCUUAACGGGAUGGCUUUUCAUUAGUGUAAAGAGCUUUUGGAAUAAGAGCUGGGCAAGACCGGUGCCAGCCGCCGCGGUAACACCGGCAGCUCUAGUGGUAACAAUUUUUAUUGGGCCUAAAGCGUCCGUAGCCGGUUUAAUAAGUCUCUGGUGAAAUCCUGUAGCUUAACUGUGGGAAUUGCUGGAGAUACUAUUAGACUUGAGACCGGGAGAGGUUAGAGGUACUCCCAGGGUAGAGGUGAAAUUCUGUAAUCCUGGGAGGACCGCCUGUUGCGAAGGCGUCUAACUGGAACGGUUCUGACGGUGAGGGACGAAAGUUAGGGGCGCGAACCGGAUUAGAUACCCGGGUAGUCCUAACUGUAAACGAUGCGGACUUGGUGUUGGGGUGGCUUUGAGCUGCUCCAGUGCCGAAGGGAAGCUGUUAAGUCCGCCGCCUGGGAAGUACGGUCGCAAGACUGAAACUUAA
RNAcentral lists this ribosomal RNA (740 nucleotides) under uncultured archaeon. Its description in RNAcentral is "bacterial SSU rRNA". It matches the Rfam family "Archaeal small subunit ribosomal RNA", at positions 118 to 859 of the family's 1478-position model. The record is from RNAcentral.